Molecule: long non-coding RNA, 2189 nt
Organism: Lutra lutra (Eurasian river otter)
Lineage: Eukaryota; Metazoa; Chordata; Mammalia; Carnivora; Mustelidae
Exons: 2
Source: RefSeq, a predicted model, not a curated record
AGCGGCAGAUUUUCUGCUAAAGUAGCUGUGGAGGCGUGACGCGCCUGUGACGUGCGCCCGCGCGCUGGCGGGAGCGCUGACGACACGGGGCGGCCGCCGCAGGAGGGAGCUCGCGGGAGGACGCAGCUUUCCCGGGCCGGACAGCGGCGGGCGCGCCUGGAGGACUGAGCGCCGGCUUCCCAGCCCUGCGCUCGGCUCCAGUCUCUCGCCCGCAGCCGCGUCCCGGCCCGCCUGUGUGGGUGCAGAGACAGAUACCGUGGCAGCGGCAGGCAAAGACUGGGUCUCUCUUCUUCGUGAAGAGAAAUAAUGAGUUGUGGUGGCCGCCGCUUAGAUGUCCGGACUCCUCGGUCUCGCACCGUUUUUGGUAGUGAAGGAGCAAAUGGCUUUGCACUACGCGGCGUUCCUGUUCCGUUCCUGACCCACAUCGAAGGCCACGUGAGAAUCGUGGCUGCAGAGCCUUAGUCUUUAUAAACAAAAAUCGCUAUAAAAUGCAAAGCCGCUGUUGCGCGCAACCUUCUUGCCGCCAGCCUAGCAUUUCUGUGGCGUUUUCUCUCACACUAUAUUGUGAAUAAAAUUUUUCUAUACAAAUUAAAUAAUUUAAAAACUCACAUAUGAAACAUUUCAUGCUUUUCAGCCUUAAUGCUUCAUGGCUGAUUUUGUUACUUGAUGUACUGAUUUGGGCAACUUAAUUCACAUUUUAGCAAUCUGUGUAGAAAACUAGAAGCCCCGUUAAGUAUUUUAUAAUUUUAGGCUGUUUAUGCCAUGCUUGGGAUGUUGUUUGAAAGAAAGAAAAAUACACUUCACAUAUUUCUGCACCUUCAUCUUCUAAAUAAACCUGUGGAUGACUUAGUAAGAGGUAAGCGGACAUACGUCUUCUACACGCCUACUAAGGAUAUACUUGUGGCUAAAGUGAGUUGAUAAUGUUAUGCAAAGGAUAACUGUCACCAGCUCAUUUCCUUAUGGUCCAUAAUGAAAUAAACAUCUUGUAGACUGUUAAUUCAGUAAACAGAUGCAUGUUCAAAAGCUCUAUGAUAGUUUUGUAAUCUUACUCUAAUAUAUUUUAGCUAUUUUAUUUUUUUCCCUCUGGGGGAAUACAUUUAAUAUGGUGUAGAAAAUGCUUAAUGACAUUUUCAUAUAAGGUUAUAUAACUUUUCCUACAUAAACAUAAAAUUUGUUGUAGAAAAUUCUUUAAACCAAACAUUUUGAUCUAGGACUUCAGUUUAAUAUGUUCCUUGAAUCUAUUUUUAUGUAGCCCUUAAAAACAUCUGAAAAUCCAUUGCUAAUAUAGCAAUAAAAUACUUUGGGUACUGACAGCCUCUUUGGAGUGUGUAUAUAUAAAAUUACAAACUUGAAUUCAUAUUCUUUUCUGUGAUAUGUUGUACUUAAAAUGCUUUUGCACCUUUUUUUUAAACAAUUUUUUCUUUUGAUGUUGGUGCCAGAUUUACCAUACAUGACUGCUGCUUUUGGAGUUAAACAUUUUGUUAGUGAAGAUACAACCAGAACACUACGUUAUGGGAUAAAAUUUUCAUAAUAGGUGGCAUAGGUAAAUAUUUUUAGGCUUCAUUUAGAAUUUAUUAUCAAGCCAUGCCAUUUUUUUCUGGAAAGGAAAAAAAAAAAACGUGUUUUUCAUUGUUAGGUUAUAUUUUUCUGUAGGAAAGAGGAAAUUUUUUGGUCUAUGUUGUAAGCCUCAUUCAUACUUCAAUUUUAAGAUUGUCUUAUGUGUAUUCUAGUAAAUAGAUGACUUUCAGAAUCGAGCCUCCUACGAGUUUGAUUUGCUCAUUUUUCCUUAAAAUAAAUAUUGUCUUUCAAAAAAAAAAAAGAGAGAGAGAAAAUGGUAGUGAGGAAGACAGGAAACAAUGGUUUCCUAAUUUCCCUCCCUCAGAGAUGAGAGAUUUGCUGUACUCUCUUUCAUAAGUGAUAGUUCUAUGGGAAGGAAGUUACCCCAGAAGGGAUUCUAGAUGUGGCAAUUGUAACCUCUUAAAAAUGUGGAAUUGCUCCUGUUCUUCUGAUUGCAAGCUACUGCAGAUACCCCGUAUCAAACCGGCACGCUGGACACCGGAUUAUUUCUAAUUUCUCUCUUGUCAGCAACACUCAAAAGAACAUUAUUGUGUAGAUAAAUAUUUGCAAAUGUCUAGUUAUUUCCUUACAUUUCUAGAAGUAGACUCCCUAGAUUAAAGUUUAUCCAGUGU